AUCAAAUAUGAGGGCAGUGACAGAGGCGGUACUGGAAGCGUGAGGUACACUAAAGAGAAACUCUUGACCUGAAGUCAAGUAAACAUUAAGCUAGGAAUCUCAGGUGUGUGUGUGGCCAGGAAGGGCUGUCAGGUGUUGAAUGUUAGAAUUGACCUGUCAAAACGUAAAGACCGUGUCGCCCAAUGGUAUGAAAGGCUAACAUGGUUUAUUGGACACGAAUGAGGUUGCUCUCUGUUCAGGCUGUGGUGGUCUUCUUCUAAUGGAGGCCCUGAGCCAGGCCAAACUUCUAAAGUGGACACAACAUUGAGAAUUGUUGUGUUUUGCGGAGAAGGAGGCUAUUUUUAGUGCUAGAGAAAGAAGUGCGACACUAAUGUGGAAAUAGCAACCACCAGAGUUCACCUGCACUCACGCUAUGAUUUCAUUUCGUCCUAAUGUAGUCUUUUUAGUGUGUGUGUGUGUGUGUGUGCGUGCGUGUGUCCAUAGACAUGGAGGUUUUGUACAUAUGUAGAACUACAGUGUACGUGACGCAACAGUAUGAAGGUAUUCGUGUCAUGCUGACGUGUAUCUAACCUCAUUUGGUCAUGUCGACCAUGUGCUGGUGUUUUAUUUCCAUAUUCAAAGUAUGACUAUCAGUACAUUGUUUCUACCUUUUAUUCUUUGUCUCAUGUCAGGCGUUAAUGUUUUUAUUUUGUAUAUUUUGAUCCAUUUGAAGGAUGUUGUGUGUACAAACACAUGUUUGUGUUGGUUUUGUGUGUGUGUGUUUCAAUCAAUUUGUCACAAGGACAUUUUAUUUUUCAACCUUGUCUUUCAGUGUGAAGCUACGAAGAACAGCAAGUCUUAACCCUCCAUAAUCCUUUGUAUUAGGCUCAAGUGACUGUGUGUGUGUUGGGCUGUGUGUGUGUUGGGCUGUGUGUGAGUGUGUGAGAGAAAGUUGAUGUAUGGGGGGGGGGGGUCAAGCACCUUUCCAGAGUGCCUUGCGGUAGAAGUAUAAAGUUCUGUAUCAGCGCAGCUGCCAGUGAUGGAUUCACUCCACAUAGUGCUUACAUUGUGUGUGUGUGUGUGUGUGUGUGUGUGUGUGUGUGUGUGUGAUCCAUCACCUAGAAGGACCAGCCUGAGGAGUUAGUUUAGUGUUCAUAUUGAAGUCAUUCUCUACAAAUAAAUGAAAAAAAAUAAACAGGCGCAUCAUUUCCUGUUAGCCUCUGACUCCGGCAUGGAUGUGGCGGAGAUCCGGCUGACGUCAGCGCCACGUCCGGGCCACGUCUGGGCCGAGUCCAGCCCGGCUCUCUGGGCUCCUUAUGUUAGCUCUUUCCAACAUACUCCUGUGUCUUAAUAUUCUGGUUCCGUGGAUGUGAUUUUUCUUUCCUUUUAUUUGUAUGUUUCUCUUGUUGUAGCUGGAUAGCUUCAGGAAGAUUUGAUUUGAUUAUUUGAAGGAGACGUGUCGAAGGAUGAGCUGAUUUAAUGCUGAGAUAAUGUGUUUUGGGUGAGCUUACGAUGUUAUAGACAAUCACUAGUGUGUGUAUUUAUAUAAUAAGUGUCUUAAGUGUGUGUCUUUGGAGGAAUGAAAUGAAAUGUCUUAGGCUCUGCUUUGGCAUGUCAAUACCAGAGCGCUCUUCUUUGGCCAAUGAUACUGUGCACAAACUGACCAGCCUCUCAAGUUGUUGCUUCAGCGUCAAGCACUUGGUUUUGGACCAAUCACCUUUUUAGCAGAAGGCUUCAGCAAACCAGAGCAAUGUGUAAAUAUGACCUAGUUUGGGGAGUUUGUGCUUGAACACCCUUGAAUCACACACGUAUAUCUGUUUAUUGAAGUCUUAUGACUGCCUGGAGUUGAUUUUUAAUUUUUUUUUUUUUUACUGACAUUGUAAAAAUGGGUGUUAUGCUGUUUUAAACAAGGGCAGUAACUGUUCCGCUCUCCAUUUCAGCUCAAGUUGAUUUCUGUAGGUGUUUCACUAGCACUAGUACUGGUGUGAACCCUAUGGAUUAGUUCUGUUUCACUAGCACUAGUACUGGUGUGAACCCUAUGGAUUAGUUCUGUUUCACUAACGAACUGGUGUGUACUCUAUGGCAGUGGUUCUCAAACUUUUUGUCCGGGGCCCCCAUAAAAUCCAUUUGCCAAGUCUCGCGACCCCCCUCGCGAACACCAUUUCUGAUAGACUGUAUGCACAGGGCAGCAAGAUCAUUUUGCGACCCCCAAAAAAACGUUUGGCGACCCCACUUGGGGUCCCGACCCCUAGUUUGAGAACCACUGCUCUAUGGAUAAGUUCUGUGGGUGUUUCACUAGCACUGGUGUGUACUCUAUGGAUUCGUUCUGUAGCGUUCACUAGUACUGGUGUGUACUCUAUGGAUUCGUUCUGUGGGUGUGUCACUAGUUCACUAGUACCGGUGUGUACUCUAUGGAUUCGUUCUGUUUCACUAGUACUGGUGUGUACUCUAUGGAUUAUGGAUCAGUACUCAAAUGUGUAUUUUUGUAUUUAUAGAAAUCUAUGUAGAUUUACUAAAUGGUAAUCGUGGGGUGCACAUGGUCUGAGUCUGCAAACUUACAAUGAAUUAAAUGAUUCCAGACGUAGCACUGUUGUCUGUUCAUUUAGCUCAUACAUUAGCAUUAGCAUGGUGCCUGUUUAAUUCACGUUAGGCAUGUUAUGGCCUCGUUUGAAACACACACACACAUAGGCAGUGAUUUUUAAGAACGUGUUUGUGUUUAUUGAAUGUACAUGGCUUUCAGUUGAAAAAACUUCCUGUGUUAAGAGGUAAGCUUGGAGUUUCAUAUGACAAUCAGUGUCAAACACACACUCACACACAAACACACACACACACGUGUUGAGAUUAAGUAAGGAAGACUGUGGCAUUAGCAGUGCAUGUUGUG
Clupea harengus (Atlantic herring) is the source of this 2860-nucleotide long non-coding RNA. Lineage: Eukaryota; Metazoa; Chordata; Actinopteri; Clupeiformes; Clupeidae. The record is from Ensembl.